UGUAUACCACCACCACGACGCACAUCUCGGCACUGAGGGCAGAUCUGGUGGCUGGGGCCACCCUGCAGUCCCAGAUCGUGGCUGAACUCUGUGGUCCUGUCCUCAGGCCAAUGCCAACCCUGUGAGACCUGAGAGCGUUAUGUUAUCAAAUACCACACGGGACAUCUGUAACCCUUUCAUGAACGGCCAGGACGCAGGAGGCUGUGAAUAGAUGGAGGUCCUAGGGACAAGAGCACCCUGCCCCGUGCUGAUCCAGGAGCAUUCAUCUCACCUACUGUUUGCAGGCCACUUGCCAUGGGCAGAUGUCACGCCAGUAGCUGUAUCUCCCAGUGGUAUUUCGGAGGCAGACCAGAGUCACAUCUAACACUGUCUUGAAGCCAGCCUUUUGAGAACUGGGCCCUUCCUCUUCCCCUCUGCCAUACAGUCAGUGUCUCUGCUCCUCGGAGAAGUUUCCAGGAACAUUCUUAAGAAAGUUUCUUCUACUGGGAGGAGCACCCUGCACACAGUCAUUACAGGCAACUGCUGCUACUCGCAGAAGACCCUGAGCUUCUCAGUGACGGAAGCUGCGGAGAUCUCUGCGAGCCACCGGACACGGACAGCCUUUCCCUGCCAGACCAGCCGGGGACACGCUGCUGGGAUUCAUCUCCCUAGAAGACUGGGUGAACUUGAAUUCUUCUCCCUUUCAAAGAGCUUUUUCCCCUGAAUCCCUUUUACAAUCUGAAGAAAAGGAAGAAAGCCGGAGGAAGCUUAACAUGAGAUGCAAGUGGAGCCUGAUGCUGCAGUGCGUGGCAGAAGCCUUAGCUUAGAAGCAACAGUUCUACUAGAAAUCAUGUUACAGAUUAUGUACUUCUUUGGAAUGGCCAUGAGAAAAAUGCGUUCCCACAGUAUCGUCAAAGGAACUACAUCCAGCACCAGAUUUUCCUACCAACCAAAUACAGGGGCUAAGAGUCUGGCAGCUCAUAACUUGGUACUCGUGACUCCAGCUGAUACAUUCACAUCAUAAGAAGGCAGCCAGCUCAAGAAAGAUAUCAUCAAAAUACACGCGGCAUUUUGAAACAGACACUCACUAGAAAAUGGAAGAUAGAAUCCACAGAAGAAUGGAAAGACUGGGACUCUUCCUUCGGGGG
Dromaius novaehollandiae (emu) is the source of this 1127-nucleotide long non-coding RNA. RefSeq lists it as uncharacterized. The record is from RefSeq and is a predicted model, not a curated record. NCBI's taxonomy places the organism in Eukaryota, Metazoa, Chordata, Aves, Casuariiformes, Dromaiidae. The transcript has 6 exons.